CCCUUAGAUGUUCUGGGCCGCACGCGCGCUACACUGACGAAUGCAACGAGCUUAUAACCUUGGCCGAAAGGUCUGGGUAAUCUCCAAAUUUCGUCGUGAUGGGGAUAGAUUAUUGCAAUUAUUAAUCUUCAACGAGGAAUGCCUAGUAAGCGCAAGUCAUCAGCUUGCGUUGAUUACGUCCCUGCCCUUUGUACACACCGCCCGUCGCACCUACCGAUUGAAUGGUCCGGUGAAGCCUCCGGAUUGCACAGGCCCCGUGUCUGGCGCGAGAAGUUGGCUAAACCUUACCAUUUAGAGGAAGGUGAAGUCGUAACA
This 315-nucleotide ribosomal RNA is filed under the name uncultured eukaryote. RNAcentral's name for it is "partial 18S ribosomal RNA". It matches the Rfam family "Eukaryotic small subunit ribosomal RNA", at positions 1470 to 1796 of the family's 1831-position model. The record is from RNAcentral.